CAAAGGCAUGGUCCCGACCUUACCAUCAGCUNUAGCCCAACUUACACAUGCAAGUCUCCGAACCCCGUGAGUAAGCCCCUUAAUCCCCCGCCCGGGACGAGGAGCAGGCAUCAGGCACAAACCUUUAGCCCAAGACGCCGGGCCUAGCCACACCCCCAAGGGAAUUCAGCAGUGAUAAAUAUUAAGCUAUAAGUGAAAACUUGACUUAAUUAGGGCUAAGAGGGCCGGUAAAACUCGUGCCAGCCACCGCGGUUAGACGAGAGGCCCUAGUUGAUAGAACAACGGCGUAAAGGGUGGUUAAGGAUAGCGAGAUAAUAAAGUCGAAUGGCCCUUUGGCUGUCAUACGCUUCUAGGAGUCUGAAGCCCAAUAUACGAAAGUAACUUUAAUAACGUCCACCUGACCCCACGAAAACUGAGAAACAAACUGGGAUUAGAUACCCCACUAUGCUCAGUGGUAAACCCAGACGUCUAACUACAACNAGACGUCCGCCCGGGUACUACGAGCAUUAGCUUGAAACCCAAAGGACCUGACGGUGCCUCAGACCCCCCUAGAGGAGCCUGUUCUAGAACCGAUAACCCCCGUUAAACCUCACCGCUUCUAGCCAUCCCAGCCUAUAUACCGCCGUCGUCAGCUUACCC
RNAcentral lists this ribosomal RNA (639 nucleotides) under Cyprinella lutrensis (red shiner). RNAcentral describes it as "partial 12S ribosomal RNA". It matches the Rfam family "Bacterial small subunit ribosomal RNA", at positions 7 to 1065 of the family's 1533-position model. The record is from RNAcentral. Lineage: Eukaryota; Metazoa; Chordata; Actinopteri; Cypriniformes; Leuciscidae.